Molecule: transfer RNA, 55 nt
Filed under: Toxocara canis (dog roundworm)
Lineage: Eukaryota; Metazoa; Nematoda; Chromadorea; Rhabditida; Toxocaridae
Rfam family: tRNA
About the family: Transfer RNA (tRNA) molecules are approximately 80 nucleotides in length. Their secondary structure includes four short double-helical elements and three loops (D, anti-codon, and T loops). Further hydrogen bonds mediate the characteristic L-shaped molecular structure. tRNAs have two regions of fundamental functional importance: the anti-codon, which is responsible for specific mRNA codon recognition, and the 3' end, to which the tRNAs corresponding amino acid is attached (by aminoacyl-tRNA synthetases). tRNAs cope with the degeneracy of the genetic code in two manners: having more than one tRNA (with a specific anti-codon) for a particular amino acid; and 'wobble' base-pairing, i.e. permitting non-standard base-pairing at the 3rd anti-codon position.
Source: Rfam by way of RNAcentral
ACUCAGUGGUAGAGCUCCCGACUCAUAAGCGGGAAGACCUGGGUUCGAUUCCCGG